RNAcentral lists this ribosomal RNA (505 nucleotides) under uncultured bacterium. RNAcentral describes it as "partial 16S ribosomal RNA". It matches the Rfam family "Bacterial small subunit ribosomal RNA", at positions 28 to 507 of the family's 1533-position model. The record is from RNAcentral.
GACGAACGCUGGCGGCGUGCCUAAUACAUGCAAGUAGAACGCACAGUUUAUACCGUAGCUUGCUACACAAUAGACUGUGAGUUGCGAACGGGUGAGUAACGCGUAGGUAACCUGCCUGGUAGCGGGGGAUAACUAUUGGAAACGAUAGCUAAUACCGCAUAAUAUUGAUUAUUGCAUGAUAAUUGAUUGAAAGAUGCUAUUGCAUCACUACCAGAUGGACCUGCGUUGUAUUAGCUAGUAGGUGAGGUAACGGCUCACCUAGGCGACGAUACAUAGCCGACCUGAGAGGGUGAUCGGCCACACUGGGACUGAGACACGGCCCAGACUCCUACGGGAGGCAGCAGUAGGGAAUCUUCGGCAAUAGACGAAAGUCUGACCGAGCAACGCCGCGUGAGUGAAGAAGGUUUUCGGAUCGUAAAGCUCUGUUGUAAGAGAAGAACGGGUGUGAGAGUGGAAAGUUCACACUGUGACGGUAUCUUACCAGAAAGGGACGGCUAACUACGUG